Molecule: ribosomal RNA, 464 nt
Filed under: uncultured bacterium
Lineage: Bacteria
Description: partial 16S ribosomal RNA
Rfam family: Bacterial small subunit ribosomal RNA
Source: RNAcentral
ACGCACGCUGGCGGCGUGCUUCACACCUGCAAGUCGAACGGAAAGGCCCCUUUGGGGGUACUCGAGUGGCGAACGGGUGAGUAACACGUGAGUAACCUGCCCUUGACUUCGGGAUAACUUCAGGAAACUGGGGCUAAUACCGGAUAGGAAUCCUUGCUGCAUGGUGGGGGUUGGAAAGCUUCGGCGGUUUUGGAUGGACUCGCGGCUUAUCAGCUUGUUGGUGGGGUAGUGGCUUACCAAGGCUUUGACGGGUAGCCGGCCUGAGAGGGCGACCGGCCACAUUGGGACUGAGAGACGGCCCAGACUCCGACGGGAGGCAGCAGUGGGGAAUAUUGCACAAUGGGCGGAAGCCUGAUGCAGCAACGCCGCGUGCGGGAUGACGGCCUUCGGGUUGUAAACCGCUUUCAGCAGGGGCGAAGCUUGUGGUGACGGUACCUGCAGAAGAAGCACCGGCUAACUACGUG